UUGGGCCUGCUCGGUGAAUAAUUUUUAACAGCUGCGGUAUUUUAACUGUACUAAGGUAGCAUAAUAAUUUGCCUUAUAAUUUGAGGCUAGAAUGAAUGGUUUGACGAAGGUUAAUCUGUCUCUAUCUUAUUUUUUAGAAUUUAAUUUUUAAAGUGAAAAAGCUUGAAUUUUUUAAAGGGACGAGAAGACCCUAAUGAGCUUAUAAUUUUAUUAUUAUUAUUUAAUAUAUUUAAAUAAUAAUAUAUAAAUUUUAAUUGGGGUGAUUAAGGAAUAAAAGAAUUAUAUAAUAACUUCCUUAGAUUAAAUAUAUAUAUAUAAAGUAACCAAUAAUAUAUUGCUUAUAAUAUAGUUACCAUAGGGAUAACAGCGUAAUUUGUUUAGAGAGUUCUUAUUGAAAAACAAGAUUGCGACCUCGAUGUUGGAUUAAAGUAACCUUAAGGUGCAGAAGCUUUAGUA
RNAcentral lists this ribosomal RNA (456 nucleotides) under Illex argentinus (Argentinian squid). RNAcentral describes it as "partial 16S ribosomal RNA". It matches the Rfam family "Bacterial large subunit ribosomal RNA", at positions 1853 to 2569 of the family's 2925-position model. Lineage: Eukaryota; Metazoa; Mollusca; Cephalopoda; Oegopsida; Ommastrephidae. The record is from RNAcentral.